Molecule: unclassified non-coding RNA, 364 nt
Filed under: Hevea brasiliensis (rubber tree)
Lineage: Eukaryota; Viridiplantae; Streptophyta; Magnoliopsida; Malpighiales; Euphorbiaceae
Source: RNAcentral
GAAACAGCGUCAGAAACAAAAAAGGGAAAAAAUAUUUUAGCAAUUUGAUUGACAACUAAACUAGUGUCAAAAAAGGGGUGAAAAAGAAUACCUGAGGUUUUUCAAAGUUUAAAUUUCAAACAAGAAGAAAAAUGAAUAACAAAAAGUGCUAGAAGGAACAAAAAGGUACAAGCAUAUUUUACAAAAGAAAACAAGAAAGGCCGCUAAACAAUUUAUUUAUCAAUGGGUAUCCACCGCAGUUGGACAAUUCUAUUGCAUGUUGUUAAAUUAGACAAUACAGCCCUUAAAAACAAAAAUGAAGAACUUCAGCUGAGAAUCAUCAUUGAGAAACAUAAAAAAAUUCCACAUGUCCGCCAACCCAAAA